RNAcentral lists this ribosomal RNA (498 nucleotides) under uncultured bacterium. RNAcentral's name for it is "partial 16S ribosomal RNA". It matches the Rfam family "Bacterial small subunit ribosomal RNA", at positions 30 to 523 of the family's 1533-position model. The record is from RNAcentral.
AUUGAACGCUGGCGGCAUGCUUUACACAUGCAAGUCGAACGGCAGCACGGGGUAACCUGGUGGCGAGUGGCGAACGGGUGAGUAAUAUAUCGGAACAUAUCCGCGAGAGGGGGAUAACGUAGCGAAAGUUACGCUAAUACCGCAUAUUCUCUGAGGAGGAAAGGUGGGGAUCGCAAGACCUGCCGCUCACGGGGUGGCCGAUAUCGGAUUAGCUAGUUGGUGGGGUAAAGGCUCACCAAGGCGACGAUCCGUAGCUGGUCUGAGAGGACGACCAGCCACACUGGGACUGAGACACGGCCCAGACUCCUACGGGAGGCAGCAGUGGGGAAUUUUGGACAAUGGGGGCAACCCUGAUCCAGCCAUGCCGCGUGAGUGAAGAAGGCCUUCGGGUUGUAAAGCUCUUUCGGGUGAGAAGAAAAGGAAUGUGUUAAUAGCAUGUUCUGCUGACGGUAUCACCAUAGGAAGCACCGGUUAACUACGUGCCAGCCGCCGCGGUAA